Molecule: ribosomal RNA, 1373 nt
Filed under: uncultured bacterium
Lineage: Bacteria
Description: bacterial SSU rRNA
Rfam family: Bacterial small subunit ribosomal RNA
Source: RNAcentral
GAUGAACGCUGGCGGCGUGCCUAAUGCAUGCAAGUCGAGCGAACGGACGAGAAGCUUGCUUCUCUGAUGUUAGCGGCGGACGGGUGAGUAACACGUGGAUAACCUACCUAUAAGACUGGGAUAACUUCGGGAAACCGGAGCUAAUACCGGAUAAUAUUUUGAACCGCAUGGUUCAAAAGUGAAAGACGGUCUUGCUGUCACUUAUAGAUGGAUCCGCGCUGCAUUAGCUAGUUGGUAAGGUAACGGCUUACCAAGGCAACGAUGCAUAGCCGACCUGAGAGGGUGAUCGGCCACACUGGAACUGAGACACGGUCCAGACUCCUACGGGAGGCAGCAGUAGGGAAUCUUCCGCAAUGGGCGAAAGCCUGACGGAGCAACGCCGCGUGAGUGAUGAAGGUCUUCGGAUCGUAAAACUCUGUUAUUAGGGAAGAACAUAUGUGUAAGUAACUGUGCACAUCUUGACGGUACCUAAUCAGAAAGCCACGGCUAACUACGUGCCAGCAGCCGCGGUAAUACGUAGGUGGCAAGCGUUAUCCGGAAUUAUUGGGCGUAAAGCGCGCGUAGGCGGUUUUUUAAGUCUGAUGUGAAAGCCCACGGCUCAACCGUGGAGGGUCAUUGGAAACUGGAAAACUUGAGUGCAGAAGAGGAAAGUGGAAUUCCAUGUGUAGCGGUGAAAUGCGCAGAGAUAUGGAGGAACACCAGUGGCGAAGGCGACUUUCUGGUCUGUAACUGACGCUGAUGUGCGAAAGCGUGGGGAUCAAACAGGAUUAGAUACCCUGGUAGUCCACGCCGUAAACGAUGAGUGCUAAGUGUUAGGGGGUUUCCGCCCCUUAGUGCUGCAGCUAACGCAUUAAGCACUCCGCCUGGGGAGUACGACCGCAAGGUUGAAACUCAAAGGAAUUGACGGGGACCCGCACAAGCGGUGGAGCAUGUGGUUUAAUUCGAAGCAACGCGAAGAACCUUACCAAAUCUUGACAUCCUUUGACAACUCUAGAGAUAGAGCCUUCCCCUUCGGGGGGGCAAAGUGACAGGUGGUGCAUGGUUGUCGUCAGCUCGUGUCGUGAGAUGUUGGGUUAAGUCCCGCAACGAGCGCAACCCUUAAGCUUAGUUGCCAUCAUUAAGUUGGGCACUCUAAGUUGACUGCCGGUGACAAACCGGAGGAAGGUGGGGAUGACGUCAAAUCAUCAUGCCCCUUAUGAUUUGGGCUACACACGUGCUACAAUGGACAAUACAAAGGGCAGCGAAACCGCGAGGUCAAGCAAAUCCCAUAAAGUUGUUCUCAGUUCGGAUUGUAGUCUGCAACUCGACUACAUGAAGCUGGAAUCGCUAGUAAUCGUAGAUCAGCAUGCUACGGUGAAUACGUUCCCGGGUCU